AAGCAAAGACCAGCGCUGCUCUAAGCUGGAAAGUAUUAGAAGCUUCCUGACUCUCUUUGACUCUUCACCUUCCCAAUUCCCAUUUCUCAGGGGGGAAAAACUUUGCACAUUUCCAUGUUCUCUUCUUGUCAUUGAUUCUCUCUCCUUUUCUACAACUCACACCACGUUCUCUCUCUACGCAACAGCAAAACUCAGGUGAACAAAAGGCAAGGUGAGAUCGCUUAAAUUGAACGCAAAAUGCAGAGAGUAACAGUGAUCGAGAGAUUUUCGAAAACUUUCCGUGAUAAUCCUUCGCUUUCUAAGCUGCUCAUUGUUUUCACCGUCAGUGGUGGAGGUCUUGUUGCAUACUCUGAGGCAGCAAAAUCAUAUGAGAAUCCUAAUGCUGGAGAGUUGGUUGAGGCCAAC
Molecule: non-coding RNA, 405 nt
Organism: Nicotiana tabacum (common tobacco)
Lineage: Eukaryota; Viridiplantae; Streptophyta; Magnoliopsida; Solanales; Solanaceae
Source: RefSeq, a predicted model, not a curated record